This 234-nucleotide unclassified non-coding RNA is filed under the name Pseudomonas sp. B10. RNAcentral describes it as "Pseudomonas sRNA P17". It matches the Rfam family "Pseudomonas sRNA P17", at positions 1 to 205 of the family's 282-position model. Lineage: Bacteria; Pseudomonadati; Pseudomonadota; Gammaproteobacteria; Pseudomonadales; Pseudomonadaceae. The record is from RNAcentral.
GCAAGGAGCAAGUGGCACGAUCCAGCGAUUAUCUUGAUGGCCAACUGAGCUUUCGCGAGACGCUGAUGGUGCGUCAUCACCUGUUGUUCUGCCGCAACUGCCGGCGCUUCAUGCGGCAGAUGCGCGUGAUGCAGGCAACCCUGAAGGCGCUGCCGGAAAAACCGGAAGAGGGAGUGGAUGCUUUGGCUGAGCGUCUGGCGACGCAGAGGCGCGACGACAGUCCUUGAAAGAGUC